Molecule: microRNA precursor, 127 nt
Filed under: Myotis lucifugus (little brown bat)
Lineage: Eukaryota; Metazoa; Chordata; Mammalia; Chiroptera; Vespertilionidae
Description: mir-9193 microRNA precursor family
Rfam family: mir-9193 microRNA precursor family
Source: Rfam by way of RNAcentral
CAUGCACCGGUGGGGUCCCUCGGCCUGGACUGUGCCCUCUCGCAAUCCAGGACCCCUCAGGAGAUGUCAGACUGCUGGUUUUGGCCUGAUCCUCGCAGGCCAGGCCGAGGGACCCCACUGGUGCACG